UAGAGUGCGAGAGAGGAGAGUAGAAUUUCUGGUGUAGCGGUGAAAUGCGUAGAUAUCAGAAGGAAUACCAAUGGCGAAGGCAGCUCUCUGGCUCGUCACUGACGCUGAGGUGCGAAAGCGUGGGUAGCAAACAGGAUUAGAUACCCUGGUAGUCCACGCCGUAAACGAUGACAACUAGCCGUUGGGCAGAUUUAACUGUUCAGUGGCACAGCUAACGCAUUAAGUUGUCCGCCUGGGGAGUACGGCCGCAAGGCUAAAACUCAAAUGAAUUGACGGGGGCCCGCACAAGUGGUGGAGCAUGUGGUUUAAUUCGAUGCAACGCGAAGAACCUUACCAAUCCUUGAAAUCUAGCGAAGUUCGCAGAGAUGUGAAUGUGCCUUCGGGAACGCUAUGACAGGUGUUGCAUGGCUGUCGUCAGCUCGUGUCGUGAGAUGUAUGGUUAAGUCCAGUAACGAGCGCAACCCCUAUCCUUAUUUGCCAGCGCGUAAUGGCGGGAACUAUAGGGAGACUGCCGGGUGAAACCCGGAGGAAGGCGGGGACGAGGUCAAGUCAUCAUGGCCCUUAUGGAUUGGGCUACACACGUGCUACAAUGGGAAGUACAGAGGGACGCUAAAGCGCGAGCUGGAGCCAAACCCUUAAAGCUUUUCUUAGUCCGGAUUGGAGUCUGCAACUCGACUCCAUGAAGUUGGAAUCACUAGUAAUCGCGAAUCAGAAUGUCGCGGUGAAUACGUUCUCGGGCCUUGUACACACCGCCCGUCACAUCAUGGAAGUGGGUUGCACCAGAAGUGGUUAGUCUAACCUUCGGGAAGACGAUCACCACGGUGUGAUUCAUGACUGGGAUGAAGUCGUAACAAGGUAGCCGUA
RNAcentral lists this ribosomal RNA (864 nucleotides) under uncultured bacterium. RNAcentral's name for it is "bacterial SSU rRNA". It matches the Rfam family "Bacterial small subunit ribosomal RNA", at positions 642 to 1504 of the family's 1533-position model. The record is from RNAcentral.